RNAcentral lists this ribosomal RNA (537 nucleotides) under Salmonella enterica. RNAcentral's name for it is "bacterial SSU rRNA". It matches the Rfam family "Bacterial small subunit ribosomal RNA", at positions 997 to 1533 of the family's 1533-position model. The record is from RNAcentral. Lineage: Bacteria; Pseudomonadati; Pseudomonadota; Gammaproteobacteria; Enterobacterales; Enterobacteriaceae.
UUUCCAGAGAUGGAUUGGUGCCUUCGGGAACUGUGAGACAGGUGCUGCAUGGCUGUCGUCAGCUCGUGUUGUGAAAUGUUGGGUUAAGUCCCGCAACGAGCGCAACCCUUAUCCUUUGUUGCCAGCGAUUAGGUCGGGAACUCAAAGGAGACUGCCAGUGAUAAACUGGAGGAAGGUGGGGAUGACGUCAAGUCAUCAUGGCCCUUACGACCAGGGCUACACACGUGCUACAAUGGCGCAUACAAAGAGAAGCGACCUCGCGAGAGCAAGCGGACCUCAUAAAGUGCGUCGUAGUCCGGAUUGGAGUCUGCAACUCGACUCCAUGAAGUCGGAAUCGCUAGUAAUCGUGGAUCAGAAUGCCACGGUGAAUACGUUCCCGGGCCUUGUACACACCGCCCGUCACACCAUGGGAGUGGGUUGCAAAAGAAGUAGGUAGCUUAACCUUCGGGAGGGCGCUUACCACUUUGUGAUUCAUGACUGGGGUGAAGUCGUAACAAGGUAACCGUAGGGGAACCUGCGGUUGGAUCACCUCCUUAC